Molecule: long non-coding RNA, 513 nt
Organism: Phacochoerus africanus (Common warthog)
Lineage: Eukaryota; Metazoa; Chordata; Mammalia; Artiodactyla; Suidae
Exons: 2
Source: RefSeq, a predicted model, not a curated record
UGCAUAUCUUUUAAAAUAAUACGGUAUUAUUAUUUUAUUUACAUAUUCAGAAAGAAGACUUUGAAGCUCUACUGUUACAUAAAAAUCAAGCUACAGAACAAUACACAAAAUGUAAUCCCACUCACUUGAAAAAUUAAAAGUCAAGCCUUCAUCCUGUUACCAAGAAUACUUGUAUUUCUCUCUCCGCUUCUUCUGGAUGAAGGCUUAAGAUUUAAUCUUAGACUCAGCCAUAAAACAGAAUGAAAUCAUGACAUUUGCGGCAACACGGAUGGACCUAGAGAUUUCCAUACUAAGUGAAGCGAAGUCAGGCAAAGACAAAUAUCGUGUGACAUCACUUACAUGUGGAAUCUAAAAAUGAGUAUGCAUGAACUAUGUACAAGAUGGAAACAGACUCACAGCUAUGGAAAACAAACGUCUGGUUUCCAAAGGGAAAAUGUGGGGGAGGGAUAAAUUGGGAUAUGGGAUUUAGAGAUGCACAUUACCAUAUAGAAAAUAAACGACAGGAGUUCUCGU